This 459-nucleotide ribosomal RNA is filed under the name uncultured bacterium. RNAcentral describes it as "partial 16S ribosomal RNA". It matches the Rfam family "Bacterial small subunit ribosomal RNA", at positions 338 to 795 of the family's 1533-position model. The record is from RNAcentral.
CCUACGGGCGGCAGCAGUGAGGAAUAUUGGUCAAUGGGCGCGAGCCUGAACCAGCCAAGUCGCGUGAGGGAAGACGGUCCUAUGGAUUGUAAACCUCUUUUGUCGGGGAGCAAAAGACGCCACGCGUGGCGUUCCGAGAGUCCCCGAAGAAAAAGCAUCGGCUACCUCCGUGCCAGCAGCCGCGGUAAUACGGGGGAUGCGAGCGUUAUCCGGUGUUAUUGGGUUUAAAGGGUGCGCAGGCGGAAGAUCAAGUCAGCGGUAAAAUUGAGGGGCUCAACCUCUUCGAGCCGUUGAAACGGGGUUUCGUGAGUGAGUGAGAGGUAUGCGGAAUGCGUGGUGUAGCGGUGAAAUGCAUAGAUAUCACGCAGAACUCCGAUUGCGAAGGCAGCAUACCGGCGCUCAACUGACGCGCAUGCACGAAAGUGUGGGUAUCGAACAGGAUUAGAUACCCCAGUAGUC